GUCAGUUUUAUUGCAGAUUUGUAUAUCCCAUUUUAAUCCUCCAUCAAAUGAUAAAGGAAGGAUAUAUGAAGCUUUCUGAUGAACUUAAACAGGAAAAGAAGUUCUCGCUCCGGUAGGUGAGUGCGACCGACGAUCUACAGACUUGCUCCUCGAGCAAGACAAAGCCAGCCAGUUCACAAGGAGUAAGAGAGAAAACCCACCUAAGAAAAGAAACACCGAGAACUUAACAAUUCCAAGUCUUGGGAUGUAUGUAUAGAGAAAAACACAGCUGCUGACAGCAUCCUGGGAGAAUUCUACCCACUCGAAGACGGUAGCUCAUGUCCCUCACUCACCAGGAAGACUGGCCACGUCACAAGAGAUAACAGCGCAGGUCUUGGAUUCAUCUGGAAUUUAUUCUGCUGCGAGGCAUGAGGAACACAUCGAGGAGGAAGGCGACUCCCCA
Molecule: long non-coding RNA, 442 nt
Organism: Ailuropoda melanoleuca (giant panda)
Lineage: Eukaryota; Metazoa; Chordata; Mammalia; Carnivora; Ursidae
Exons: 4
Source: RefSeq, a predicted model, not a curated record